UGCAAGUCGAACGGCAGCACGGACUUCGGUCUGGUGGCGAGUGGCGAACGGGUGAGUAAUACAUCGGAACGUGCCUAGUAGUGGGGGAUAACUACUCGAAAGAGUGGCUAAUACCGCAUGAGAUCUACGGAUGAAAGCAGGGGAUCGCAAGACCUUGUGCUACUAGAGCGGCCGAUGGCAGAUUAGGUAGUUGGUGGGAUAAAAGCUUACCAAGCCAACGAUCUGUAGCUGGUCUGAGAGGACGAUCAGCCACACUGGGACUGAGACACGGCCCAGACUCCUACGGGAGGCAGCAGUGGGGAAUUUUGGACAAUGGGCGAAAGCCUGAUCCAGCAAUGCCGCGUGCAGGAUGAAGGCCUUCGGGUUGUAAACUGCUUUUGUACGGAACGAAAAGCUUCGGGUUAAUACCCUGAAGUCAUGACGGUACCGUAAGAAUAAGCACCGGCUAACUACGUGCCAGCAGCCGCGGUAAUACGUAGGGUGCAAGCGUUAAUCGGAAUUACUGGGCGUAAAGCGUGCGCAGGCGGUUUUGUAAGACAGAGGUGAAAUCCCCGGGCUCAACCUGGGAACUGCCUUUGUGACUGCAAGGCUAGAGUACGGCAGAGGGGGAUGGAAUUCCGCGUGUAGCAGU
This 631-nucleotide ribosomal RNA is filed under the name uncultured bacterium. RNAcentral's name for it is "bacterial SSU rRNA". It matches the Rfam family "Bacterial small subunit ribosomal RNA", at positions 56 to 682 of the family's 1533-position model. The record is from RNAcentral.